AGUUUGAUCCUGGCUCAGGAUGAACGCUGGCGGCGUGCUUAACACAUGCAAGUCGAACGGUGAAGGAGAGCUUGCUCUCUGGAUCAGUGGAGAACGGGUGAGUAACACGUGAGCAAUCUGCCCCUGACUCUGGGAUAAGCGCUGGAAACGGCGUCUAAUACCGGAUAUGAGCUGCGAAGGCAUCUUCAGCAGUUGGAAAGAAUUUCGGUCAGGGAUGAGCUCGCGGCCUAUCAGCUAGUUGGUGAGGUAACGGCUCACCAAGGCGUCGACGGGUAGCCGGCCUGAGAGGGUGACCGGCCACACUGGGACUGAGACACGGCCCAGACUCCUACGGGAGGCAGCAAUGGGGAAUAUUGCACAAUGGGCGGAAGCCUGAUGCAGCAACGCCGCGUGAGGGAUGACGGCCUUCGGGUUGUAAACCUCUUUUAGCAGGGAAGAAGCGAAAGUGACGGUACCUGCAGAAAAAGCACCGGCUAACUACGUG
Molecule: ribosomal RNA, 484 nt
Filed under: uncultured Microbacterium sp.
Lineage: Bacteria; Bacillati; Actinomycetota; Actinomycetes; Micrococcales; Microbacteriaceae
Description: bacterial SSU rRNA
Rfam family: Bacterial small subunit ribosomal RNA
Source: RNAcentral